This 440-nucleotide ribosomal RNA is filed under the name uncultured bacterium. RNAcentral's name for it is "partial 16S ribosomal RNA". It matches the Rfam family "Bacterial small subunit ribosomal RNA", at positions 338 to 795 of the family's 1533-position model. The record is from RNAcentral.
CCUACGGGAGGCAGCAGUGGGGGAUAUUGCACAAUGGGGGGAACCCUGAUGCAGCGACGCCGCGUGGGUGAAGGAGCGUUUCGGCGCGUAAAGCCCUAUCGGCAGGGAAGAAGAUGACGGUACCUGACCAAGAAGCCCCGGCUAACUACGUGCCAGCAGCCGCGGUAAUACGUAGGGGGCCAGCGUUAUCCGGAAUUACUGGGUGUAAAGGGAGCGUAGACGGUGAUGUAGGUCUGGAGUGAAAGGCGGGGGCUCAACCCCCGGACUGCUCUGGAAACUAUGUGACUGGAGUGCAGGCGAGGUAGGCGGAAUUCUUAGUGUAGCGGUGAAAUGCGUAGAUAUGAGGAGGAACACCAAUGGCGAAGGCAGCUCACUGGACUGUAACUGACGUUGAGGCUCGAAAGCGUGGGUAGCAAACAGGAUUAGAUACCCUGGUAGUC